GACAGAGGGUGCGAGCGUUAAUCGGAAUUACUGGGCGUAAAGCGCGCGUAGGCGGCUUUGCAAGUCGGGUGUGAAAUCCCCAGGCUUAACCUGGGAACUGCAUUCGAGACUGCAUUGCUAGAGUAUGGGAGAGGGAAGUGGAAUUUCCGGUGUAGCGGUGAAAUGCGUAGAUAUCGGAAGGAACAUCAGUGGCGAAAGCGACUUCCUGGACCAAUACUGACGCUCAUGUGCGAAAGCGUGGGGAGCAAACAGG
This 253-nucleotide ribosomal RNA is filed under the name uncultured bacterium. RNAcentral's name for it is "partial 16S ribosomal RNA". It matches the Rfam family "Bacterial small subunit ribosomal RNA", at positions 524 to 776 of the family's 1533-position model. The record is from RNAcentral.